CUGACAUUGAGAAGAUGGAAGCAGCAAUGCAACCAGAGUCCCAUUUCCACAUUCUGAAGUAAAGAGGCAAUCUUGCAUCAUGGAUGAAUUUAUUCCUUUACAGAUGGGUGGUAGUGGGUUUUCCAUUCUGUGUACUGCCAACUUUCUCCAAGAUUUAUGUCACCUAAUGACAAUGAGAGUACAUCUAGCUACAAGCAGCUUUCUGUAUAACCUGCUGAUCAGUGUUUUUCCUGUGGUACGACAGACUAAGCUCUCCUAUUGAUCUUACUGAGAUGAAACACUGGAUUCAUAAGACCAAUGCAUGACACAAUCUCAGCUUCCUUCAUCCCCUCCGUGUUUGUUAUGUCAAACCCACUGCCACUCUCCAGGUCCGACCAGAGCUGGUUGUCAGGUGCUGUCCAUGCAAGCCUCUCUAGAGCACCACAAGGCAGAGUGACUUUCAUCAUGCUGCUAAGGAGACCAUUGCUUGCCAGUGAGUUCUGCCAAUCUGAGUUCACAUUUUGUAUCAACAAGAUUUGUAUACUUUAUUGUCAUUUCAUAGGCUUUAUUGUCAUAUGCACCUGUAACUCCAUCAAUGUUCACAGUCACUCACCCUGGGGCAGUAAAGCUUUGCCACAGAAAUACUUGAGAAGGACCAUGGCUGCCAUUCAAGACCAUCUGGUACUAAACAGUAUGUCUCUAAACCCAUGUUUACCCAGGUAUCAAUCGAGGCCGUUUUCUAUCUAGACCUCUGCUGUAAGUGGCCACUCAAUUUGUCCAUAAGAUAAAUGUACAGUAUUCCUAGCAGAGCUCAUAAUGAGUGUACAUGAAUGACCUUUCAAAAGCUCUCUGACUCCUUCAAAACACAAGCAGAGAGAAAGUCUGUAUUUGCAAGAUCAGAAAUAAAAUGAAAACCUCACUUUGACUGAAUAAAAAAGCCAUAUACAGGAAAGCCCUUGAUGAAUAGCAUACUUUUAACAAAAAUACCAUUUCCUUUGCCACAAUAAAUGUUGUUUCAGAUUCUGAAAUUAAGUGCUUGUUCCACUGAGCUGUAACAUUUUGUUAAGCUGCAGAGACGUUAGAGGAACAACUAUUCCGUUUCUUACAGACUUCAGCUAUUUACAAUUCUCUUUUAAUAUUUCUUUUUCUGGAGGAGAGAAACACGUUCUAGGAUUUUCUCUAAGCCUGUUUUGGUUCAUUAUGGAGGUCUGACUUUCUGCAUCCACUAAAGCAACCACUGAUGAACUACUUUUGCGGCCUUAGGGAAACCUGAACCUGGAGCCAGCUUUUAGAAUUCACCGGCAGGCCCAGGUCCUUGGCUGCCGUGGCAGAGGCUCUGCUCCUCUCAGAAAGUUUGGAGGAUUUAUGGAGGACUUAAGUAGCAGCUACAAAUCAUGGUUCUGUUUCAGCUCAAGAGUGAACUGCAUUUAAGGGAGCAUUGUUGUAACAAGAAGAAAACUUCCCAGCUCAAGUGUUUCCAAGCUAUUAAUCAUUUCCCAAGUAUCUGUCCCCCUGGAAAUUCUCCAAGUCCUUAUGAUACUGCUCUCAUAAACAAUUAUUUUCUUUCCUGAACUCCUGUAAUAAAAUUCAUACUGGAUGUUGCUCUUAGGACUCCUUGGCUCCUCUCUUUUUUCUUUUUUCUUUUUUUCAGAUUGGGAAGUGGAAGAGAAGGAUUUUAUUUUAUUUUAUUUUUGUCUGUUUAGAUUGUGCACCCUUUUAAUAUCAUUACUAAACAGAACUCCAACAGGAAAAGAAAGUGAAUGGACUUCAAUAAUUUCUUCUGAGCAUUUUUUGAUGGCACAGUCACAACAGAUACUUUGGCCAAAUGCCUGUUGUCAGCCUGUUGUUAGAAAAAAAUGAGACAGGACGGGGGAAUACGCUUUAUUUUUGAGUGCCUACAAAUACAUAGACAAAUACAUAGAUCAGCAGCCUGCUGGACAUGCCCCUGUAAAUAUGCACAUCAUCAGACAGCCCUGGGGUUUCAGUCCUGCUGAUUGUUAUUUAUGGAGAUUAAUACAAAAUUAUGCAUGACUCACAUGUUGUAAUUUUGUUCAAGGGUCUAAGAAAUAUCAUAGAAUCAUAGAAUCACAGAAUGGCCUGCAUUGAAAAUACGCCUCUGUUCUUGUGCUAUUUUGAGCAUAUUCCCUUCACUGAUCUGACAGUAGUUCAUUCAUUUGCUUUUAUAAACUGAGACUUCUCCGUCUUUUUGUACCGGCAUCCUGCACACAACUCUCCCCUGAAGAGGAACUGGGGAGUAAAUGUUUGCUACUGGCUCCAUUUUCACAGCCUUCCUCCACCGCUCCUUUACGCCAUGAGUGCAGCCCAUUUCUACAUGAUACAGCUGCCUUGCUAGGAGGAAAACUGCUGCUGUGCACAGGCUCACACAUUCACACUGCGUGCACACGCACAUCCCGCAUUAGCUGAGGGAAGAGCUGCCAGAUUUUUAACUCUUCCUAUGAGGCCUCAGCUGUGGAUCCUAAUGGAAACCUGCAUGGCACACCAGCAUGAGUUGCUCCGAGCUACUCGCCUAUCCCUGUGCUGCAGGCUGCCCGCUACAGCGCGGCGCUGGCUGUAAUGCAAGCUGACAUCUCCGGUGUGCUACAUGUUUAAAGCACUGCAUAGUGCUCAUUCCUUAAUGCACCUCCACCACGUGUGGCGGACAGGAACACACAGCAAGCCUCAAGAGGUGCCUGGCACAGAGCAACCAGCCAUGCCAGGGCCUGGCUGGGAGCUGCGUGUAUCAGCGCGUGCCUUGGUGGCGGGUGUGGAAGCGGCCACAUUUGGGAUGGCUUUUAGUCAAGUUGUAGUGAUUUCCAACUCGGGAGAGAGACUUUGGGUUGUGAAGAAUGCUGCAGUUACCAUCAUUAGCAGUUCUUCACCUGCUGCUGCUGUUUUGGCUUUAGAUUAUUUUGGACAGGAAAUCUUGGGGAUGAAAUGAAUAUAAAACCAGACACGUUUAUACUUUGGGUGCAGAAUUUCCCCUGCACAGAUGCUUUAUCCCAACAGCAUUUUCAGCACGGCUCUUAGUGACAUUACAGGAAUGGCAUUCCCAUCCUUCCAAGCGAAGCACGGUGCGGACUCCUCGCACAACCACGUUCGGACUCUCGGCUCACGCCGCGCAGCGCGGGCCGUCCAGCCCUCCGGCGCUCGUGACGGUCGGCAGCUGCUCCGCGCGGAGCUGCCCUUCCCC
This is a long non-coding RNA of Meleagris gallopavo (turkey), 3169 nucleotides long. Lineage: Eukaryota; Metazoa; Chordata; Aves; Galliformes; Phasianidae. The record is from Ensembl.